Long non-coding RNA from Contarinia nasturtii (swede midge), 335 nucleotides. RefSeq lists it as uncharacterized. The record is from RefSeq and is a predicted model, not a curated record. NCBI's taxonomy places the organism in Eukaryota, Metazoa, Arthropoda, Insecta, Diptera, Cecidomyiidae. The transcript has 3 exons.
AAGACUGUCUGGAGAAGAGAAUUAUCGUGCGAAACAAGCGUUGAAAACUGAAUUCAUGAAAGAUCCCAUUCACUUCUUAUGCUACUUGACAACACGAAGAAUGGAUAUAGAGGACGAUAUCAAGACAGUUCGAGAAAUAUUUGAAAAUGUAUCGCGCGAAGAAGCAGCUCUGCGUGUUUACUUGCUUGAACCAGACGAUUCUGUUGGCUGUUCAGAUGUUUUAAACGUCUUCCUACCAUUUAUGAAUGGACAAUAAAGUGGCUAUGAUUAAAUAUUGUAUUGACAUGUAAAAAAGCGAUCGUCACUUAAAAAUACAGCUAUAAAUAAACUAAAAA